RNAcentral lists this ribosomal RNA (265 nucleotides) under uncultured bacterium. Its description in RNAcentral is "partial 16S ribosomal RNA". It matches the Rfam family "Bacterial small subunit ribosomal RNA", at positions 72 to 339 of the family's 1533-position model. The record is from RNAcentral.
UUAAGAGCUUGCUCUUAUGAUUAGUGGCGCACGGGUGAGUAAUAUAUAGGUAAUGUACCUCUUAGUCUGGGAUAGCCACUGGAAACGAUGAUUAAUACCGGAUACUCCUUUCUGAUUAUAAUUUCAGUCGGGAAAGUUUUUCGCUAAGAGAUCGGUCUAUAUUCCAUCAGCUAGUUGGGGAGGUAAUGGCUCACCAAGGCAAUGACGGAUAGCGGGUUUGAGAGGAUGAUCCGCCACACUGGUACUGAGACACGGACCAGACUCC